This 461-nucleotide ribosomal RNA is filed under the name uncultured bacterium. RNAcentral describes it as "partial 16S ribosomal RNA". It matches the Rfam family "Bacterial small subunit ribosomal RNA", at positions 338 to 795 of the family's 1533-position model. The record is from RNAcentral.
CCUACGGGUGGCAGCAGUGAGGAAUAUUGGUCAAUGGCCGUAAGGCUGAACCAGCCAAGUCGCGUGAAGGAAGAAGGCUCUAUGGUUUGUAAACUUCUUUUAUAGGGGAAUAAAGGUAUCCACGUGUGGAUAUCUGCAUGUACCCUAUGAAUAAGCAUCGGCUAACUCCGUGCCAGCAGCCGCGGUAAUACGGAGGAUGCGAGCGUUAUCCGGAUUUAUUGGGUUUAAAGGGUGCGUAGGCUGUGAGGUAAGUCAGCGGUGGAAUGCCCCCGCUCAACGGGGUGAAGUGCCAUUGAUACUGCCUUGCUGGAAUGCGGAUGCCGUGGGAGGAAUGUGUGGUGUAGCGGUGAAAUGCAUAGAUAUCACACAGAACACCGAUUGCGAAGGCAGCUCACGAAUCCGCGAUUGACGCUGAUGCACGAAAGCGUGGGUAUCAAACAGGAUUAGAUACCCCAGUAGUC